GGCAGAUUCCUAUGUUCCACUGAGAAACAAUGUACAUUAGCAUCUAAAGAGGGUGGGUAGGCUGGAGGACCAUUAAAUCCAGGGUCUAAAAUUACCUAACUGCACCACUGAUUUAAGUUAUAACUAAUCUACACUAUGUGAGUGAAUUGGCCAUUUGAGAGGAAAAAGAAUUAAGCUUGCCUGGGUAUUCUCUCUCUCUCUCUCUCUCUCUCUCUCUCUCUCUCUCACACACACACACACACACACACACACACUACAGAAAUUUGUUUAAUUUUCUUCCUUUUCUUCCUUCAAAGAACUCAGGGCAGUGUCUAUGGUUCUCCUCAUCUCACUCACCCAUUUCAUUCUCACAACCACCCUUCAAGAUAGAGCAGGUUAAAAAUGAGUGGCUGUCCACUGCAGUAGUUAGAGGUUUGGACUGGGACCUGGGAAACUAGGGUUAAAAUUCCGCACUUGGCCAUGAAGCUCGCUGUGUGAUCUUGGGCCAGGCACUGGCUCUCAGACUAACUUACCUCACAGGGUUGUUGUGGGGAUUAACUGAGGAAAGGCGGGCAGACAACAUACACCGCCUUGAACUCCUUGAAGAAAAAGGUGGGAUAGAAAUGCAAUAAAUGAAAUGAAUGAAUGUCCCUGCACAAGUGCUAUUCAGAGGUGGAUUGCUCCUGCACAUGGAGGUUUCACUACCCCCGAUGUGGCCCAUAAGAACCUAAGAGCCUCAUUCAAUCCACCUUGGCCCAGAACACUUGUUUUUUACAGUGGCCAAUCAGAUGUGUUUUGGGAAGUUUGCAAGCAAGGCAUGGAGGCAACACAAGCUUUCCUGGGUUUUUCCCCAAGUACCUGGUAGACUGCCCCUGGGUCUACAGUAGAGUUUCAUUUUACUGUAACCAUUGCAGAGCUGCAUGCACAUUGCACAGGUUAGGGUGAGAUUUAAAUUAUUUAAGAUAAUAAUAGUGGAAAGGUUGGUUGUUGAGGGACAAGCUCUCUCUGAGGGGCAUUUUCUGCCAUUAAUUAUUGUCUCAUUGAGGAAAACUCAAAUAAAUUUCCACAGGACCAUCUUGAAAACUGCUGCCCUAGAAAGACGAAAAGAAAGAUUUAUGUGUGCAGCUUCUGGGUGUGAUUUCCAUUAGAAAAAUGCAUGUUCCUGGACUUCCAGAACAUGUCAAGAAAUUGCCACUUAAUCAACUUGCAUUAGCCACUUAAUCAACUUGAAUUACUUCCAUUAAUCAGAGGGUCUCCUCCAGCAAUACUAAAGUAAGGAAGGCAUUCCUCAUGUAAAAUAUUUUUAUAACACUUCUCAUUCAAAUAAUACAUCCCAAAAAAACUCAGUAUAAAAAGAACAACAAUAAAUAUAAUCCUGCAACCUGUAUAAAUCAUGCAAACAUGCCUGUUCUCUCUUGUUUUGCAUGAUCUUUUUAAAAAACACACAUACCAUAUUUUGCAUAAUCUAGCACACGCUUCCUCAACCUCGGCCCUCCAGAUGUUUGAGACUACAAUUCCCAUCAUCCCUGACCAUUGGUCCUUCUAGCUAGGGAUCAUGGGAAUUGUAGUCUCAAAACAUCUGGAGGGCAAAGUAAUACGUUUAGUGUGGAGAACCUAUGGCCUUACAGAUGUUGCUGAAUGAUAACUCCCAUCAUCUCUGGUCAUUGGCCAUACUUGCUGGGGCUGAUGGGAAUUGUAGUCCAGCAACAACAGGAGGGCCAAUGGCUCUCCAUUCCUGCUACAUUUAACUAGGAGGUCUCUCCCCCUCCCCCCCCCCACUGAGAAAAACUUGCCUCAGCCACCCAGACUGCUUUUGUGAUGACUCUAAGCAUUGCCUUUGCAUUUCUUGCACCCACAAGGACUAGAAACUUGGUGCUGGUUUUGUUCAAAAAGCCAGUAAGCUGGAUUCUGAGGCCAAUGCAACCUUUUGUGCUUUCACAGUACUUCUGCAGAGCUGCAGCAUGUCCUGACUAUUCAUGGCAGGUACGUUUUGGCUAUUGCACCACUUACUCACAAGGCUCACUUGUUCGUUUUUCUUCCUAAUGCAAUGGGGUGAGGAUAAAAGAAUGCGUUCCAAUCUCAGCCUUGGCAAGCAGGUAUGAGUUUCUUAAUUGGCAGCAGAUUUCAGUGCUGUCAAUCAAGUUAAGCUUCCUGCUCCAUCUGACCAGAACCUGUUUUCUUUCCCACCUGCAUUCCCUGACCCCUACCCCAAAGAAAAAAAAUAGCAAUCUGAUUCUGCCAGGAUUUGACACUCUGCAUAGAUGGCUGCAGAUUGGGGGGGGGGGGGUGUUCUCCAUGCAGAGCUCAGCAAACUCCAGAAAACAAGUGUCUGUGGCAAAGGACCCCCCCCCCCCAGCUAAACUGAGGUAGCAGAAGGAAGCUCCUUCUCUGAGGAAAGGAGCCUUGGCAGCAGUGCUGGCCCGACCAUGAGACAUGAUGAAGCAGUCUCCUCAGGUGGAGAUCUAGCCUCUAAGGCACACCCUCAUUGCUGCUGUCUGUCCCUCCCCAGCCUCCUUUUAACCCUCCACUGCCCUCAGUGUGUUUGUGGGGGGAUCUGCAGAGGAGGUUGUAAAAAGGGAAGGGGAGCAGAGAAGGAGGCCGUUGAGGUUGACAUUUUCUGUUUUACCCCAAUCUGUAAAAUGUCUGGGCAGCUUGCCUCUGAGCUGAGCUGUGGAAGCUUCGCCCAGGAGGGUGGAUGGAACACUGCCCCACCAACCUCAGCUUGCCCUCAGCCAGCUACAACUUCCCUUCCUCCUACAACUAGUCCAGGACGGUGGUCCUGCCUAACAACUGGCUCCUCCUUAGUCUUAGCAUUGGUGCUUGCAGAACUCAGCAAGGAGGAGGGCAAAAAGAGAAUUACCGGUAGUUGGCUCUACUUGUCACUGGCUUUUGAUGUUGGAUCUGGAGCCCCUUACCAGCCUGCCUUGCUGUGCUCAGCCUGGCAGUUUCUCUGGCUCCAGGUCCCUACCCUGCCUGGACAGACAGACACACCCAGGAGGGAUGGGCCAGAAUCUCCCAUAGCACUGGCUACAGAAACAAUAGGGGCACAGGGAUCAGCUUAUUGGGUCCUACCAAAAGAUUUAUCUAAAUGAACAUCCUGUGUCUGACAGUGUGCAGCCCGAAGGCCACGAUGGUGCAAGGCAGGGCCUUUUCCAGCCUUUCCUUUCUAGGCAAGCUCCCAAAGGCCACAUGUCAGUGAUGGGUAGGGCCAGAAGCAAAAGUGGGAGGUAGAAAUGCAUGCAAAUAUUAUCUUUGUACUGUUGCAGGUUGUGGGGUGGGGCAGCCUGGAUGAUGCCCUGAGUACCUUCUGAUUAUCGGGGUCCUGUACUGAGUGACAUUAGAAUCUGACAAAGGAGUUUGCUGAAGCAGUCAGGCAGGUUUCUUUGUGAUACAUGCCCACUAAGUGUCCUCAUCAGCAUCCCAAAAGAAGGAGCUCAGCUGCAAGAGCUACAGCUAAAUGAUGGUGCCCUCUAGGUUGGAUGGGUCUUUCCUCCACCUGCCUCACCUAGGAGUACAAGAGCCAGUGUGGUGUGUGAGAGCUGAGCUGGAAGCAGGAUGUGAGCUGGAGACACAGAGCCAUGCUUGCUCUGUGCUGGAUCCAAAGCUGUGACUAAUGGAAAAGCAAGAUCUGUUGGGGGUGAAUGCUGUGAGCCCUUCCACUUUAUGCUCAGGUUGUAUAUAUGUGAAUAAAGGUAAAGGGUAAAGGGACCCCUGACCUUAGGUCCAGUUGCGAACGACUCUGGGGUUGCAGUGCUCAUCUCACUUUACUGGCUGAGGGAGCUGGUGUACAGCUUCUGGGUCAUGUGGCCAGCAUGACUAAGCCGCUUCUGGCAAAUCAGAGCAGUGCACGGAAAUGCCAUUUACCUUCCCACCAGAACGGUACCUAUUUAUCUACUUGCACUUCAUGCUUUCGAACUGCUAGGUUGGCAGGAGCAGGGACCAAGCAACGGGAGCUCACCCCGUUGUGGGGAUUCGAACCGCCGACCUUCUGAUCAGCAAGUCCUAGGCUCUGUGGUUUAACCCACAGCGCCACCUGCGUCCCAUAUUUAUGUGCAUAUUUGACCAUAUAUCCUAAGGAUACCACAGUCUCCACUCAUGUUCAUUCCAAGGAAACUAAAUCCUGGGUAAGUGCCUGGAACUUGGAGAUUAGGGUGGCACGUAACAGUACAGUAGAAUGGUUUCUAUAACUACUCACAUGUUCCCCUUCCCCUCCUCCCCUCUGAAUUCUGCACUGUCCAAGUUGCAGUGACAUUUUGCCUUGGGCAGAAUCCUCUGACCUGGAUAACAAUAAUAAUCACAGGUGAGAUCGGACACACAGCAGUGGGAAGGACCAGGGGCUUGUAAAUGAGAUGGAGCCAUUGAAGGGUGUGCAGAAUUAGGGAGAGGAGAUCCUCUGUGUUUCAUUAGCCCCUCACAGCUGGCUGAUUCCGGGUGGCUUUUCCAAGAGAGCUAAAAGAGGCCUCCCAGCUCCCAGAAUCAUUGCAAGCUGUCCUUCCGCACGCCCCACGCUAAUUAAUUGUACAGCAUUGCAGAUUUAGACAGUUAGUUGCAACUGCGUGUCAUUUUUUACUCCUUCCUUAGAUGCUGGCAGCCAAUAAGAGAUGGAGGGAGAGGGAGGGAGAGAGACAAAAGAAAGAAAGAAAGAAAGAAAGAAAGAAAGAAAGAAAGAAAGAAUCUCUGCAAUUGCUUCCUUAUUGUAGAUGCCUCAAGAUGGUCUCCUGGGACACAUGAUUGUGCGUUUCUGGCCCAAAAACCCUGCAAAACAUGUCAGGGUCUCACCCACAAGGCAGGCAAAUAACUCAGUGUGCUUCCAGGCUGCCACUGUUUCUAGGUAGGAUUCAGUCAUGUGCUGACAAAUUCACAUUGCACAAUUAGAGUCUGUCAGGAGAUCUUGCGUGACAAACCAGCUUCCCAAAAAGAUCUGACUUCUUGCGAUAUGGAACGAGACAGGAGAACACCCUGGAAAGUGUGCAGUAACAUUUGCUUUAUGCAAGGGAGUGUUCACCUUACUGUGCUGAAGCACAGCAAAGUGCCUUGAAGCACACUGAACACAGGGAAACUGUUCACAUCAGCAUGGCUUCAUUAGUGUCAGAUUUGUUUCCAUUUGCCUACACACCAGGGGGCAUUGACAGGGUGGGAAUGUCUUCGCCCUACGCAGAGGUGUUCACACCUUGGCUAGGGAUGAAUUAGAAAAAGCUUAAGAACUACAACCGGUGUGAGGCUGGGUUGAGAAAUGAUGACUCAGACAGUAAUAUUUUACAGAAAAGUACAGGAUACAUAUGCAUUUUGGAUAGUAUGCAAACACAGGUUAAAAACCCAUUGGUCCAUAUAAUUCUGGCAGCAGCUCUCUGGUAUUUCAGAGAGCAGUCUCUCCCAGCACAACCUGGAGAUGCCACUGGGGGAUUGAACCUGGGACCUUCUGCCUACAAAGCAGGUGUUCUAUUACUGAGCCACAGCCCUCUUUGCCCCCUACAUAUGUGACCAUUCCACUACCACAAACAUCCACGUUGUUGCCUCUUUCCUCCACAUCUCUCCAUUUCCCUGCUCAUCAUUAAUGAUGCAUAUAGAGAGAAGUAAUGCUGGAUCCAACCCAGAGACAUUUGAAGGCCUUGUGAGUAUUGGGUGGCCCCAGAAUGCCACUGGUUUUUUGUUUUCUUCAUGGCUUGAAGGACCUUUAAUGAAGCUCAAAGAACAGGAGAGCUGGCCUCCUCUUGGUACAUUAACCCUCCCCAUUUCCCAGUGUGUUCGUGCCCCAGAGAAAAAGAACCAGAUGGUCAGGAUGCAGUAAGGGCAUGGAAAAAGACAUUACAGUGGCUUGGGGGGGGGGACAUCCCUGGAGCUACCUACCCCCAGCACAAUAGCAAAAUUAUAGCCAGGCAUGUUUCUAGCUCUUUGUUCUUAGCCUGGUGGGACAUUUGGGGGAAGGAAUUAGGGAAGGGGUAUUUGUUUCCCCAAUUUGGGAAGGCCUCUACCCUCCCGUCCUCAAACACAACAAUGGUGGCUCUUACUGGAGAGGGUUAGGAAGAGAUCUUCAAUCAGGCAAAUGACAGGAUAGGCUCAGCAGUGAGCACAAGGUUCAGAAGUCACAAUUCCAAUAUAGACAUAAUGACAUGAGAAGAGUCUGCUCAAUGGCCCAUCUAGGCCAGCAUCCUGGUCCCACAGUGGCCAACCAGAUGCCCACUAUGGGAAGCCCUCAAGCAAGAUUUGGACACAAGAGCAUUCUCUCCUUGUCUCCAGCAACUGGAAUUCAGAAACAUUUUUGCCUCCAACUGUGCUUUGUCCUCCCUAAGUUUGCCUAAUCCUCUUUUAAGGUCAUCUAGGUUGGUAGCCAUCACUGCUGUGAGAAUCAUAGAAUCAUAGAGUUGGAAGAGACCACAAGGGCCAUCGAGUCCAACCCCCUGCCAAUGAGAAUGAGUUCUGUAGGUUAGCUAUGCACUGUGUGAAGAAGGGCUUUCUUUAAUCUGCCUUGAGUCUUCCAACAUUCAGCUUCAUUGGAUGUCCACAAAUUCUAGUGUUAAGCAUGAGUUUUCUUUAUCCACUUUCUAGACAGAGAGGCAGGGCUGAAUGAAAGUGAUGAAGAUGCCCCACAGAUUUUCAUGCCCCUCCUGCCGAAUGUCUAAAGCUAUGGGACUCUCUUGCCUUAUGAGACUGCUAUGGGGGCAAACACACACUCUGCUGGUGCAUCUGAUCCCAUCUGUGGAAGUCAAGAAUGGUUCCUGGUGACAAAAUCAAGUCCUGCCCCUCUGACUCCAGCUCUGCUAUCACCUCUUCCUGUUCAGCCCCUACUGUUGGCUGGCGAAAGUCCUCACCACAAGGGGCUUUGCACCCUGCAAGAAGGGCGAUAGGGGGAGCUGGCUGAUCUACCAUUCUCCCUUUCCAUUAUCUAGAGUUUUAAGAGUAGAAUCUUAAGUUCAGUUCUCCAACUUUCCACUUCAGUUUGAAGAUUCUUUCUUAAAAAAAUCAUCAGCAUUUUAGUGUAAGCCUCUCCUAAUAUAUACAUUUCCCUAAUAUAAUGCAAUUUAGUAGAUUCUGUUUCCUAUUGUCUGCAUUUUCAUACACCUUUGUUCUUUUUUCAUGCAUUAACUUGGCUGCUGUCGGGCCUCUGAGCAUGCAUGAAGUGUUUUUCAUGCAGAAUACACCCAAACAGAUAUUUAAAAUCCACUGACUACCCAUCUUGGCCUGAAGACUAUGAGAAUAUUGAAAUGCGUUAUACGGAGAAAGCCGGCUUUGUCCUCUUCCCUGUUGAGUUCUACAAGGGGAAACACAGAGGCUGAGGAGGAAGGAGAUGGCACAACCUCCUGGAUUAGUUGUAAAUAUGAAAGGAGAUUGGGUGGGAGCUGGCUGAAGGGAGACUGAGGUUGGUGGGUCACUGCCCCAUUUGCCCUCAUGGACCAGCCUCCUCUGGUAGGGCAGAAGGCAGGAAGAUCAACAGCAGGUGUUGCCAGAGCCAAUGACAGGCAGAGCCACACUCCAAUCAGUUGUAAGUAAGAGGGCGGGCAGGUGGGAUCUUGCUGACCGCAGACUGGAGAAGGGGGGGGCAGGGAGCAGUCCCCUGUUCACCCAAAUGGAACAGCCUCUCUCUGUGGUGCUUUAUUUCCACAGUUCACUUUUGUUAUCCACAAUAAGAUUAAAUGCAUAAACAAGGUGGGGGGAGGGUUGUCUUGCAGCUGGUGGAUCCCUUCAUACAUUCAGAGCAGGCUGUAUCGGUAGUCACCAUCUUCUAUGGAGUUUGGUCCAGCUCAUUUCAUCCCUGGCAGACUCCCGGCCCCUGACAAGAGCCUCACCCCACCGUCUUUCAAAACAGCUGGGGGGCUUGCUUCUCUCGAAGCUGUUUCGACUUAACUCUGACAAUAAAAUUUACCAUUAAAAAUAAAUUUGUCUUGGCUUCACGCAGCCCUGGAAAUCUGCAGGGGGAGUGAUUCAGUGGGCCUGUCACGCCGCGGCAUUCAGCCUGCUGAGCCGAGCACACUGGAUCUUUUCCAAGUCCGGCAACUCAUUUUCUCCUGCCGGAGCCCAAGAACGUACAGUUGGGUUGACGUUUAAUUUAGCACCUAACAUACCUUGACAUAAACCCAUAAUACAAUAGCAGUGGGGGAGGGAGAUGGUGAUGGUGAGAGGAGGAGGAGGAGGAAGAAAGGAGAGCAGGGCCAACUGAUGGAAUUGAUUUUGUUUUGUUUUGUUUUGUUUUUUUAGGUCUUCUACUUUUGCUCUGUCAACAAUCAGCAGGUAUGACAGGAUGAAAGCUGCAAUAAAGGGAGGAUUGAGCAGCGAAAAUUGGAAAGGGGAGCGCUCUUGGUUUCUGCUCCCACGGCGGUUGAACAAAUGCGCCACCUAAACAUGGAGAGAGUUGUGGCAGCAUUGUGGCUUCCCGUUCCAGGAUGGGGUUUGAGACCAAGUUGGAUCCCAAGAUUCAGAUGUGGCUGAAACACAUUUGCCAUUAGUAUUUUGCAUGUGAAAUUUUCACUUUGAGUCUGAAACUUGAAUUUCAAGGUGAAAUCUGUGUGUGAUAUCAUCAUCAUCAUCAUCAUCCAUAUCCUUUCUUCCCAAGCUUGGAUUCAAGUAGGCUUCCAACAUUUAAAAAUGCCGUUAUGAAGUAAUAUGAAGUACGGUAAUAAAAGCUGAGUAGUUAAGACCAGUAAUUAAAAUACAUGCAGACAUAUUGAGAGCCAGCCAUUCAAAUCCACUUUGCUCUGACAGCAGCCCAGUGAUCAGCGUCACCUGCACCUUAGUUUCCAAAGGUCUGUCUGAACAGGAAGGUCUUUGCCUGCCAGCAAAAGGAAAGCAAAGAGGCAGCCAGUCUUACGUCUCUUGGGAGGGGAUCCCACAAUAAGGGAGAAGCCACAGAAGAGUGUCUGUCUGUCUGUCUGUCUGUCUGUCUCUCUCUCUCUCUCUUGUGUGUCUGAUGUUGAUGAGACUGAGAGCAAGUACCCACCUGAGGACCACAGCACCCAGACAGGCUCACAAAGUGAGAUACAGUCUUUCAUAUGGCCUGAGCCCCAACCACAUAGUGGACUGUCCCUAGACGCAGGGACCGUCCCACAUAACUGUUCACCCAAUUCUACCCAAUGCUAUUGUUUAUUUAUUUUUUGCAUUUAUAUUUCACCUUUUUCUCCAAAGAGCUCAAAGCAGCUUGUGUGCUACAGAUAGGUGUGAACAGUAGUGUAUACUGGUAUCCAUUUGUGCACUGAUCACUUGUUUUCCUAGGAUGGUCAAGAGCAUCAGGCUGAGUCAAAUGUCUUUCAGGCUCACCAUUCUUCACAUUUCCGGAG
Non-coding RNA from Podarcis lilfordi (Lilford's wall lizard), 9248 nucleotides. NCBI's taxonomy places the organism in Eukaryota, Metazoa, Chordata, Lepidosauria, Squamata, Lacertidae. The record is from the annotation of a GenBank genome assembly.